AGUUAACGUUGGCGGCGUGCGUAACACAUGCAAGUCGAACGAUCCUUAGGUGGCUUGCCAUCUAAGGAGAGUGGCGAACGGGUGAGUAACACGUGAGUAAUCUGCCCUCGAGUGAGGAAUAACUUCGCGAAAGCGGAGCUAAUACCGCAUAACACUAUGAAGCAUAGGCUUUCAUAGUCAAAGCCCCUUAGGGGGUGCUUGAGGAUGAGCUUGCGGCUUAUUAGCUAGUUGGUAGGGUAACGGCCUACCAAGGUUAUGAUGAGUAGCCGGCCUGAGAGGGUGUACGGCCACACUGGAACUUAGACACGGUCCAGACUCCUACGGGAGGCAGCAGUGGGGAAUUUUGCGCAAUGGGCGAAAGCCUGACGCAGCGACGCCGCGUGGAGGAUUAAGGCCUUCGGGUUGUAAACUCCUGUCAGA
RNAcentral lists this ribosomal RNA (420 nucleotides) under uncultured bacterium. RNAcentral describes it as "bacterial SSU rRNA". It matches the Rfam family "Bacterial small subunit ribosomal RNA", at positions 29 to 440 of the family's 1533-position model. The record is from RNAcentral.